UUGAUAUUCUUUUUUCUAUACCCAAUUUUAUAAUUGAUGUCCUGGUUAUACUUCUUCUCCCACUCAAAAGACUAGCGCACAACUUUUCCCUCUCUCACUCUUCAAACUCAUCAUUUUCUCCAUUCUUCUGGCACCGCCAGCCACCAGCCACCAGCGUCGCCAACCACCACUAAUCACAAUAGACUCAUCCAAGCUAUACACUGCUUCAUAGCUCUUUUUUUUAGUCCAAGCAAAUGAGCAAUAUAUAUAUGUCUUAUUCUCUCUGAAUAUACUGUGCUAGUUAAUAUUAGGACAAAAUCCUAAUGGCUUAGGAACCGGGACAAAUAUUUUUGCCAUGAGAACUUGAGUUUCAAUCAAAAGCAAAAUUUGAUGCAUGUAACAAAUUUCCAUUAGUUUGGAUGUAUUGUUAUUCCACUGUUUUUUCUUGUAUGCACAAUCUCUUUUGGGGAUUAAAAUUUGCUUUAGGGCAUGUGGAGGCUGCUAGCUUGUUUUUACCUUAGUUUUUAUCAUAUGGGGAUAAGAGAAAAGCCAUUAAAUGACUUGAUUUUCUCCCAAAAUUCUAGUUUUGUUUACUUUAUCAAUAAAAAAGUCUUAUAGAAAUAGAAAUUAAUGUGUUUAGCAACAGAGAUAAAUGAAUUAAUUACUUAAGUUGUUGAACAAAUUUUAGUUCAUUCU
This is a long non-coding RNA of Humulus lupulus (European hop), 675 nucleotides long. RefSeq lists it as uncharacterized. The transcript is spliced from 2 exons. The record is from RefSeq and is a predicted model, not a curated record. Lineage: Eukaryota; Viridiplantae; Streptophyta; Magnoliopsida; Rosales; Cannabaceae.